CCCUUCCACACAAUAUAUACAUCCCCCUCCACACAAUAUAUACAUCCUCCCAAAAUAUAUACACUCCCCCACACAAUAUACACACCCUCCACAAUAUAUACAUCCCUCACAAUAUAUACACCCUAAACAAUAUAUACAUCACAUACGAUAUAUAAUCUCCCUCUACACAAUAUCCCACACUAUAUACAUCCCCCACACAAUAUAUACAUCCUUCCACAAUAUAUACAUCCUCCCACAAUAUACACAUCCGCCACACAAUAUAUACAUCCCCCAAAAUAUAUACACCCCCCACAAUGUAUACACCCCACACAAUAUACACACUCCCCACAAUAUAUACACCCCACACAAUAUAUACUCCCCCACAUAAUAUAUACACCCACACACAAUGUAUACACCCCACACACAAAUCGUUAGUUUAAAUUUUAGAGGAAAAUGUGAAAGGCACAAAAGGAAGACUCUUAAGAAAUGAAGUGACGGGCUGUUCUGGUUGGAGUCACAAAGCGGGUGAGAGCAGGAGGUUGAGGCGACGCAGGGAGCUGGGAGAAAGGCCUGGAAGGGCCCAGCAGCGGGGCUGAGGGUGGCGGGGACAGGAGGGCCGACCGCCCCUUGGCGGCCACCGCUGCCAGGACACCUCCAUGUGCCAAUCACCAUUCCCUGGGCCGACUCUGGCCCUCCCAGUUCAAACCCAAGGAAGGGCCUUGAAACAUGACGACCGUUCCCCAAAAGUGACAUCUGUGUUUCCGAAAGUGGCUUUUAUGACUUCCAGAUGACAGACGGGAUCUUCCCAGACGCACAGGAGCGGCGUCUCUUCUGUGCUUCCACCUGAAAUGCCCAACAACCGGAAUCCUCAUUUCAUGGAGAGCAAUAGACCACAAAUAAAGCCCGCAGACCUGAGACGCAUUUUCCGGGGAACAGCAGAGUUCGAUGAGAAUUGCGGAGGGUUUUCCACGAGUCACUCUCCCCGUGGUUCCUAGUGCUCACCUUCAGAAAGUCACGGCCACGUUUGGUGGCAAAGCUCCCUCACAUCUCUGAUUUCCUUGCUACAAGCUGAGAUUUGCAACUUGAAGUUUGGGACCUUCAUAGACAUAGUCUUCUCAAAGAGAUUUUUAAAAGCGUUUUUUUUUUUAAAUUUUUAAUUUUUUCCCUUAAAUCGGUGUCAUUUCUAAGGAAAUCUUGCCCUCUAGCUCUCAAAUCUUAAAAUUGAGCUCAACCUAGUGACAGAGCCACACAAUGGCAGAUAAACGGACAAUGAGCGCCAUCUACUGGGUUAUUGUCAUAGUCCCCCUCAACACAAGGAAAAAGAAAAAGCCAACAGAAAGAAGGGCUGAUGGAUUAUCUCAUGCUGUGAGAUAACACUGAUGAAUGUAUAUUUUCACCGUCAGCAGAUUUCCCAUUUCGCUUAUUUGUAGAGCUACUUUCUAUUGCGUCAUCUAUAUUUCCCUCCCCUCUCUAUAAAAGACAGCUGUCACUCAUGAAGAUCACAUGAUACAUCUCCAGCAGAUGUUUAAACUUCAUUCAUUUGUCAGAAAAUUACAAAGCAGCCACUCCUCAUUUUCUCAGCAAUUCCUGCUGGGAAUAAGGGAGAACGGAGAUCGCAGAAGGUGCGUGUACUUCAGACGUAAGCCCAAAUUAGUGAAUCCACCUGAUCAGCUCCCGGACCAGCAGGAACGCAGGUGCACUCGGGAUCAGCAACUGUAGGGUUGCACUGAAGGUGCUGUGAAAGCAAGCAGGUCAGCCUGGGACAGACACCCACCUGCCCACUGCGAAUUCACUUGAUUUGACUCCACUAUUCCGUAAAUGGCAUGAAUUAUUACAUAUGAGUAAAGGAAGAGACCAGAUUCGUUCCCAAUCAUGAAAAUGCAUUGUAGGAGUUGGGAAAAAUGGAACAAUUUUGUAACCUGGAUGGGAUAGACAGGGUGAGUUGAGCCUACUGUUUUGUUCAAAAUCUAAUAACGAUGGCUACCAGUGGGGAAGACAUUUCAUUUCACACCUUCUUAUCUAAUUUUGAAAGUUGGGUCAUGUUAAUGUACUAUUAUUAUUAUUAUUAUUUUGAGACAGAGUCUCACUCUGUCACCCAGGCUGGAGUGCAGUAGCACAAUCUUGGCUCACUGCAAACUCCACCUCCUGGGUUCAAGAGAUUCUCAUGUCUCAGCUUCCCAAGUAGCUGGGACUACGGGUGUGCACCACCGCACCUGGCUAAUUUUUAUACUUUUAGUAGAAACGGGGUUUUGCUGUGUUGGUCAGGCUGGUCUUGAACUCCUGGCCUCAAGUGAUCCACCUGCCUCAGCCUCCCAAAGUGCUGGGAUUACAGGUGUGAGCCACCACUCCCAACUGUGUUAUGUAUUUUCAAAAGAAGAAUACUGCUGGCACAUGGCACAUAUUCAGUUAGUUUUGUUGAAAUAAUGGAUCUGUGAAUGAACAUAAGAAUUUUUGUUGUUUGUUGUUUUGAGACAGAGUCUCUGUUGCUCAGGCUGGGGUGCAGUGGCAUGAUCUCAGCUCACUGCAACCUCCACCUCCUGGGUUCAAACGAUUCUUUUGCCUCAGCCUCCCAAGUAGCUGGGAUUACAGGCAUGCACCACCAUGCCCGGCUAACUUUUGUAAUUUUUGUAGAGACGGGGUUUUGCCUUUGAACAUAAUAAUUUGAUAGUGACAUAUGAUGGACAUGAUGAGACUGCUGGGGUGGCCCUACAGGAAGAACAGACGCCUCACUCAGCCUAAGGGGUGAGGGUCCCUCAUGAGUCAGCCUUCUAAAGAGCGUUCUGACCGGAGUUUCCCCAGCUCUGGAUGGGAGGGUACUCAGGUGAGGGGCCGCUAGGCAUUCAUUCAUUCACCCCUUAAAUACUUGCUAGGUGUUGCUUUGUGCAGGGUGCUGCACUCAGUACCAUGGAUAUAAAAGAGAACAAGGCAGAUGUGGUUCCUGCCCUCAGGGAGCUUACUGUCUUAGGCAGACUGAAUUCUUGGGUGUCUCGGCAGAGGGCACCCAAGGUGCACCUCUUGGGUGAGGGCAGCUCCCCUCAGUUUGGCUUCUAGCCCAGCUCUCUUGUGGGACUGUCUUGGGACCAGAGCAUGAUCAUCAGGAAAUCACACACGAGUCAUAACUCUACAGUUUCCAAUGUAAAGUUGUGAACGUGGAGUCCAGCAGGACCUGCAGCUCAUGGGGCUGGUUCUCUCAGCUCUCACUUUUUUCACUUAUGGGAGAAAGAAACUUCCAGGUCAUAGAGAGCAGACAAGAAGCACCCCAUUGACAAAGUUUGGGUGCUCUAAGCAGCAGUGAGGAAAACAGAUGUGGUUUUUCUGGCGGUAAAGGGGUAGCAAUGUGGAGACUGCCUAUCGUUUUUGACGUUUUACAAAGCACCCCGUCCCAUCCAUAUCCCUCUCCCCAUGGCCGUCUGCUUUGGGCUCCGGAGGGGAGUUUGACAGUGAUAGUCCAGUGGUCUUCCCAGCUUGUAAGGCACAGAAAUAUAGUUUGUUACUGUUUAUUGUAAACUAAUUGAACUCAUGAGAUGAUAACCUGGAAAACAUGUGGCAACUCAAUCUGUAUCUUGCAAAAAUAAGAGAUUUAUGUGCUCAGAUUAAAACUGACCUUCUAUUAAAGUUAUGUGUUUGAGAUUAAUUCCAAAACCGUAGCAGCAGUCCUGAUAAAAUGGAAAGUUUCCCGGAGCCUCUGAAGCUCAUUUACAGAAACAGACUUAGCUACCAGCUCGGCUGCAAAGUAAGAAUGUGGGUAGGAAAAGAUGGUAGAGAGAGAGAGAGAUGGUUCCCCGUGUGAAACUGCAGUGAUCUUAAUCCUCCAGACAGAGCAAAUCUAAUUUUAAAACACUCCUUUCUAUCCUAAGUCAUUCCCUUGGUGGCCCACAGCCCAAGAAGUGACCAAAAUCAGUAAUAAUAUUUCCAACAAUAAUUAGAGUUUACUAUGCUCAGAUAUUCCAUUUAUGUUUGCCUGGGCCCUGUGAGAAGGCAUCACUGCCCCGUGUUAAUGAUAAGUCACAGCUCUGUGCCUUGGCUUAGGUGGCCAUGCUCACAGGUGAGGGAGUUAGAGCUCCCACUAAAUCUUUUGGCACCACAUUUUCUGCACGUCCCGCCAUGCACAUGGUGAUCUCAGAAGGGCACCCCGUUUGAGGACUCUCCUCCUCCUGUCAUCACACUCACUCAUGAUGAAGCCCACCAUGUGUACGUAUUUAGCACUUUGAACUUGACCUGAUGUGGAUGUGCCAGGCGGUGCCCUGGGCGGUGGGAAUACAGACGUGAAAAGCAAUCCAAAGCAAAUUGUUCUGGAUAAAGAAACAGGUUCAGGGGAGUGAAGUGGUUUUCCUAAAGCCACACAGGUGGUGAACGGCUUUGCGUAAAGUCGUGGUAUUGUCAACCUUCCGUGAGUGCUCCGUUGUGGCUCUCUCCCGCAUCAGAGUAUAAGCUCCCAACGGGCAGAGAUCAUCCCUAACUCACAGGCCAUUGAGCAACCUGCCUAGAACAUUGGGUAGAUGCUAAAAAAUAAACCCCGAGACUCACAAAAUGACUUGCGAGUGACAGUGUAAGCACUUACAGGGUUACACGGGGUUAAAUAAAAUAUGAGCGAGAGAGGAGACCUAAAGAAACAGACUCUCCAUAGUGCCUUCACUCUAUGCUUAUUUAUACCUUAACUCAUCCCCAAAGUGGACUAAAAGAAAUUAUUCUAUGUUUUCUUCCAGAGUAACGUGGCUUGGUAUCAUAGAUAGCAAUUAUCUCGUUUAACCUUCAUGGCAUGUGACUGUGUGGAAUCCUGCAGGCAAUUGGGGCACUGUGGCGACUGUUUGCAUAUCUAAACAUAUCUAAGCAUAGAAAAAGGAUAGUAAAAACCCAGUAUUAUAAUAUUAUGGGACCACCAUCAUAUAUGCGGUCCAUCGCUGAGAUGUUGUUAUGUGGUGUGUGACUGUACAACUCCAGAAAGGUGUUAUGAUUCUCUUAAGCAGCCUCUUGAGGGAGGAAUAUGUUGUUGUCAUUGUUUUGGAUAAAUAAAUAAGCUCAGGGCUGGGUGCGGUGGCUCACACCUGUAAUCCCAGCACUUUGGGAGGCCAAAGUGGGUGCAUUGCUUGAGGCCAGGAGUUUGAGACCAGCUUGGCCAACAUGGUGAAACCCUGUCUCUACUAAAAAUACAAAAAUUAGCCAGGUAUGGUGGUGUGCACCUGUAGUCCCAGCUACUCAGGAGGCUGAGGCAGGAGAAUUGCUUGAGCCUGGGAGGUGGAGGCUGCAGUGAGCUGAGAUCAUGCCAUUGCACUUCAGCCUGGGCGACAGAACAAGACCCUGUCAAAAAAAGAAACAAAGAAAGAAGGAAGGGAGGGAGGGAGGGAGGAAGGAAGGAAGGGAAAAGAAGGAAGGAAAGAAAGGAAGGAAGGAAGAGAGAGAAAGAGAAAAGAAGGAAGAAAGAAGAAGGAAGGCAGGAAAGAAGGAAGGAAGCGAGAGAGAGAGAGAAAGGAAGGAAGGAAGGAAGGAAGGAAGGAAGGAAGGAAGGAAGGAAGGAAGGAAGGAAGGAAGAAGGUUCAGAGGGGUGAAGUGGUUUUCCCAAAGCCACACAGGUGGUGAACAGCUUAGCUAGACUGGCUCAAAGUCUGUUGAGUAACUCAGUGCUCCUGGCACCCCUUCUCACUGCUUCUCCAUCAGGGACUUUGGAGACAAAAUAUCAUAGCCUCCUGGGUGUAGGGUGGAGAAAACAGAGGUCCGGGCCCACAGGUCUUGUUGGUAGGUGAGUGGGGAGCUGAGUGACAUUGGAGGGGCCUCCACCCGGCCCAUGGGCAGGAGAUUUCACAGGGCUGUGAGUGGCCCCUGGAAGACCCAGGGCUAACUGACCUGACAGCAGGUCACCUCCCACAGCGUUGCCAGUGGCAAGCUAUGGGUUUCACAUCUGGCUGUUGAUACAGUCAUUGAGUGUGGUACGAUGACAAAUAAGGAGGCAGAAGUUAAUGAUGUGUCGCCUGGUUAAGCAGGGCUUGCCACGCCUCAUUAGAUUUAAAAGAGUUAUCUGAGACAGGGUAAUUAUCAGAGACAGUAAAACUGUUGUAUUAAAAGAUAAAAAAGCCAGUAUCAAAGAGAAAUAAUUAACUGCUUAAUAGGACAUGUGUUGAGCUGCUUGGCUUGGUCCCGGGAAUCAGACUCUGAGAGGCUGCAGGGGACCUUUCGGCAGGGUGGGGCCUCCCACGACCCAAGCCAUUUGGGAUCACACCCUUCUAACUGGACUUUCAGCGUGGACUGGGAUCAAAGGAGGGAAGUCACAUGAGAAAAAUCAAGGUCAUCCCACACAAACUAUAUUGAUGGGCACUUCAAUUUCUUUCUUUUUCUUUUUCUUUUUUUUUUUUUUUUUGGGGAGAUGAGUGUCACUCUGUCACCAGGCUGGAGUGCAGUGGUGUGAUACCAGCUCACUGCAACCUCCGCCUCCCGGGUUCCAGUGAUUCUCCUGCCUCAGCCUCCUGAGUAGCUGGGACUACUCGGGCGUGCCACCACACCCAGCUAAUUUUUGCAUUUUUGGUAGAGACGGUGUUUCACCAUUUUGGCCAGGAUGGUCUCGAUCUCUUGACCUCAUGAUCUGCCUGCCUCGGGCUCCCAAAGUGCUGGGAUUACAGGCCUGAGCCACUGAGCCCGGCCAAACAUCAAUUUCUUUCUUUCAUUUUUUUUUUGACACGGA
This 6652-nucleotide long non-coding RNA is filed under the name Homo sapiens (human). Its description in RNAcentral is "HSALNT0158565". Lineage: Eukaryota; Metazoa; Chordata; Mammalia; Primates; Hominidae. The record is from RNAcentral.